RNAcentral lists this ribosomal RNA (253 nucleotides) under uncultured bacterium. Its description in RNAcentral is "partial 16S ribosomal RNA". It matches the Rfam family "Bacterial small subunit ribosomal RNA", at positions 524 to 776 of the family's 1533-position model. The record is from RNAcentral.
GACAGAGGAUGCAAGCGUUAUCCGGAAUGAUUGGGCGUAAAGCGUCUGUAGGUGGCUUUUCAAGUCCGCCGUCAAAUCCCAGGGCUCAACCCUGGACAGGCGGUGGAAACUACCAAGCUGGAGUACGGUAGGGGCAGAGGGAAUUUCCGGUGGAGCGAUGAAAUGCGUAGAGAUCGGAAGGAACACCCAAGGCGAAAGCACUCUGCUGGGCCGACACUGACACUGAGAGACGAAAGCUAGGGGAGCAAAUGGG